UGGGGAAUAUUGCACAAUGGGGGAAACCCUGAUGCAGCCAUGCCGCGUGUGUGAAGAAGGCCUUCGGGUUGUAAAGCACUUUCAGCGAGAAGGAAAGGUUGAUGCCUAAUACGUAUCAACUGUGACGUUACUCGCAGAAGAAGCACCGGCUAACUCCGUGCCAGCAGCCGCGGUAAUACGGAGGGUGCAAGCGUUAAUCGGAAUUACUGGGCGUAAAGCGCACGCAGGCGGUUGGAUAAGUUAGAUGUGAAAGCCCCGGGCUCAACCUGGGAAUUGCAUUUAAAACUGUCCAGCUAGAGUCUUGUAGAGGGGGGUAGAAUUCCAGGUGUAGCGGUGAAAUGCGUAGAGAUCUGGAGGAAUACCGGUGGCGAAGGCGGCCCCCUGGACAAAGACUGACGCUCAGGUGCGAAAGCGUGGGGAGCAAACA
Molecule: ribosomal RNA, 427 nt
Filed under: uncultured bacterium
Lineage: Bacteria
Description: partial 16S ribosomal RNA
Rfam family: Bacterial small subunit ribosomal RNA
Source: RNAcentral